RNAcentral lists this transfer RNA (84 nucleotides) under Bartonella sp. HY328. RNAcentral's name for it is "tRNA-Tyr". It matches the Rfam family "tRNA". Rfam says of the family: Transfer RNA (tRNA) molecules are approximately 80 nucleotides in length. Their secondary structure includes four short double-helical elements and three loops (D, anti-codon, and T loops). The record is from RNAcentral. Lineage: Bacteria; Pseudomonadati; Pseudomonadota; Alphaproteobacteria; Hyphomicrobiales; Bartonellaceae. RNAcentral also lists the same sequence under 3 other names.
GGAGUGGUGCCCGAGGGGUUAAAGGGGACGGACUGUAAAUCCGUUGCGUAAGCUACGUUGGUUCAAAUCCAACCCGCUCCACCA